GUGCCUGCUUCAGCUGCACAUAUACUAAAAUUAGAACGACACAGAGAAGCUGAGCGUGCCCUUGGGCAAGGAUGACACACAAAUUCGUGAAGCUUUCCAUAUUUUU
This is a small nuclear RNA of Equus asinus (donkey), 106 nucleotides long. Lineage: Eukaryota; Metazoa; Chordata; Mammalia; Perissodactyla; Equidae. The record is from Ensembl.